UACGGAGGGUGCAAACGUUGCUCGGAAUCAUUGGGCGUAAAGCGCACGUAGGCGGCCUGUUAAGUCGGAUGUGAAAGCCCCGGGCUCAACCCGGGAAGUGCAUACGAAACUGGCGGGCUUGAAUAUGGUAGAGGGUCGCGGAAUUCCCGGUGUAGAGGUGAAAUUCGUAGAUAUCGGGAGGAACACCAGUGGCGAAGGCGGCGACCUGGGCCAAUAUUGACGCUGAGGUGCGAAAGCGUGGGGAGCAAACAGG
This 253-nucleotide ribosomal RNA is filed under the name uncultured bacterium. RNAcentral's name for it is "partial 16S ribosomal RNA". It matches the Rfam family "Bacterial small subunit ribosomal RNA", at positions 524 to 776 of the family's 1533-position model. The record is from RNAcentral.